This 255-nucleotide ribosomal RNA is filed under the name uncultured bacterium. Its description in RNAcentral is "partial 16S ribosomal RNA". It matches the Rfam family "Bacterial small subunit ribosomal RNA", at positions 524 to 776 of the family's 1533-position model. The record is from RNAcentral.
CACGUAGGGCGCAAGCGUUGUCCGGAAUUAUUGGGCGUAAAGAGCUCGUAGGCGGUCUGUUGCGUCUGCUGUGAAAACUCGGGGCUCAACCCCGAGCCUGCAGUGGAUACGGGCAGACUAGAGGUAGGUAGGGGGAGAAUGGAAUUCCCGGUGUAGCGGUGAAAUGCGCAGAUAUCGGGAAGAACAUCAGUGGCGAAGGCGGUCUGCUGGGCCGUUGCUGACGCUGAGGCGCGACAGCGUGGGGGAGCAAACAGG